GACGAACGCUGGCGGCGUGCUUAACACAUGCAAGUCGAACGGAAAGGCCCUGCUUUUGUGGGGUGCUCGAGUGGCGAACGGGUGAGUAACACGUGAGUAACCUGCCCUUGACUUUGGGAUAACUUCAGGAAACUGGGGCUAAUACCGGAUAGGAGCUCCUGCUGCAUGGUGUGGGUUGGAAAGUUUCGGCGGUUGGGGAUGGACUCGCGGCUUAUCAGCUUGUUGGUGGGGUAGUGGCUUACCAAGGCUUUGACGGGUAGCCGGCCUGAGAGGGUGACCGGCCACAUUGGGACUGAGAUACGGCCCAGACUCCUACGGGAGGCAGCAGUGGGGAAUAUUGCACAAUGGGCGGAAGCCUGAUGCAGCAGCGCCGCGUGCGGGAUGACGGCCUUCGGGUUGUAAACCGCUUUCGCCUGUGACGAAGCGUGAGUGACGGUAAUGGGUAAAGAAGCACCGGCUAACUACGUG
RNAcentral lists this ribosomal RNA (468 nucleotides) under uncultured bacterium. RNAcentral describes it as "partial 16S ribosomal RNA". It matches the Rfam family "Bacterial small subunit ribosomal RNA", at positions 28 to 507 of the family's 1533-position model. The record is from RNAcentral.